RNAcentral lists this long non-coding RNA (475 nucleotides) under Cyanistes caeruleus (blue tit). RNAcentral's name for it is "lncRNA (ENSCCEG00000020705.1)". Lineage: Eukaryota; Metazoa; Chordata; Aves; Passeriformes; Paridae. The record is from RNAcentral.
GUCUUGAACCAUCUCACUUCAUAGUUGACAACUGUGUAGAGUAGCUACUUAGAAGAAGAAAAUAAUAUAAUCCACUCAGAAGACUUCUCGCUUGUAAAUCUAUCACAACAGGAGUGCAAAACCUGGAAGAAGUCUAACAGUUCAAGAAGAUACAGGGAGACUUGGAAAGGCCAAAAUUUAUACAAGUAUCAUCAAAAAGAAACUCAAAAACUCUGUGUCCAAUCCCCUGCUUUGGAGUUCUGGAUGCAAGACGGCUUGGCAGCUGCAAAACCAGUAUUACUCAAGCUGAGUGUCACCUAAGAAAGUUUCACAUCUGGAGAAACAUGGAAGAGAAUUGCUUUUAAUCCUCAACUCCUUUUCCAGAACAUGAAAGUGAUCAGUAUUUUUUAACUAGUUGCUAAAGGCAAAACUGUGAGGUCUUCUGCAGGAUACUAAGGGAAAUAAAUCCUUUAUUAGAAGCUGUGUUUUCUUGAUG